Molecule: ribosomal RNA, 468 nt
Filed under: uncultured bacterium
Lineage: Bacteria
Description: partial 16S ribosomal RNA
Rfam family: Bacterial small subunit ribosomal RNA
Source: RNAcentral
GACGAACGCUGGCGGCGUACUUAACACAUGCAAGUCGAACGGAAGGGCCCUGCUUUUGUGGGGUGCUCGAGUGGCGAACGGGUGAGUAACACGUGAGUAACCUGCCCUUGACUUUGGGAUAACUUCAGGAAACUGGGGCUAAUAUCGGAUAGGAGCUCCUGCUGCAUGGUGGGGGUUGGAAAGUUUCGGCGGUUGGGGAUGGACUCGCGGCUUAUCAGCUUGUUGGUGGGGUAGUGGCUUACCAAGGCUUUGACGGGUAGCCGGCCUGAGAGGGUGACCGGCCACAUUGGGACUGAGAUACGGCCCAGACUCCUACGGGAGGCAGCAGUGGGGAAUAUUGCACAAUGGGCGGAAGCCUGAUGCAGCAACGCCGCGUGCGGGAUGACGGCCUUCGGGUUGUAAACCGCUUUCGCCUGUGACGAAGCGUGAGUGACGGUAAUGGGUAAAGAAGCACCGGCUAACUACGUG